Molecule: ribosomal RNA, 262 nt
Filed under: uncultured archaeon
Lineage: Archaea
Description: partial 16S ribosomal RNA
Rfam family: Archaeal small subunit ribosomal RNA
Source: RNAcentral
CAGCCGUAAACUAUGCGCGUUAGGUGUACUGGUGACCACGAGUCACCGGGGUGCCGAAGGGAAACCGUGAAACGUGCCGCCUGGGAAGUACGGUCGCAAGGCUGAAACUUAAAGGAAUUGGCGGGGGAGCACCACGAACGGGUGGAGCCUGCGGUUUAAUUGGACUCAACGCCGGAAAUCUCACCGGAUAGGACAGACAUAUGAUAGUCGGGCUGAAGACUCUACUUGAUGAUCUGAGAGGUGGUGCAUGGCGUCAGUGACU